Molecule: ribosomal RNA, 800 nt
Filed under: uncultured Pseudomonas sp.
Lineage: Bacteria; Pseudomonadati; Pseudomonadota; Gammaproteobacteria; Pseudomonadales; Pseudomonadaceae
Description: bacterial SSU rRNA
Rfam family: Bacterial small subunit ribosomal RNA
Source: RNAcentral
GAGUUUGAUCCUGGCUCAGAUUGAAGGCGCGGCGGCAGGCCUAACACAUGCAAGUCGAGCGGCAGCACGGGUACUUGUACCUGGUGGCGAGCGGCGGACGGGUGAGUAAUGCCUAGGAAUCUGCCUGGUAGUGGGGGAUAACGCUCGGAAACGGACGCUAAUACCGCAUACGUCCUACGGGAGAAAGCAGGGGACCUUCGGGCCUUGCGCUAUCAGAUGAGCCUAGGUCGGAUUAGCUAGUUGGUGAGGUAAUGGCUCACCAAGGCGACGAUCCGUAACUGGUCUGAGAGGAUGAUCAGUCACACUGGAACUGAGACACGGUCCAGACUCCUACGGGAGGCAGCAGUGGGGAAUAUUGGACAAUGGGCGAAAGCCUGAUCCAGCCAUGCCGCGUGUGUGAAGAAGGUCUUCGGAUUGUAAAGCACUUUAAGUUGGGAGGAAGGGCAGUUACCUAAUACGUAAUUGUUUUGACGUUACCGACAGAAUAAGCACCGGCUAACUCUGUGCCAGCAGCCGCGGUAAUACAGAGGGUGCAAGCGUUAAUCGGAAUUACUGGGCGUAAAGCGCGCGUAGGUGGUUCGUUAAGUUGGAUGUGAAAUCCCCGGGCUCAACCUGGGAACUGCAUUCAAAACUGACGAGCUAGAGUAUGGUAGAGGGUGGUGGAAUUUCCUGUGUAGCGGUGAAAUGCGUAGAUAUAGGAAGGAACACCAGUGGCGAAGGCGACCACCUGGACUGAUACUGACACUGAGGUGCGAAAGCGUGGGGAGCAAACAGGAUUAGAUACCCUAGUAGUCCACGCC